UGGGGAAUCUUGCGCAAUGGGGGAAACCCUGACGCAGCGACGCCGCGUGGAGGAUGAAGGUCUUCGGGUUGUAAACUCCUUUUGUAGGGGAAAAUAGUGAUGGUACCCUACGAAUAAGCCACGGCUAACUCUGUG
RNAcentral lists this ribosomal RNA (135 nucleotides) under uncultured bacterium. RNAcentral describes it as "partial 16S ribosomal RNA". It matches the Rfam family "Bacterial small subunit ribosomal RNA", at positions 355 to 507 of the family's 1533-position model. The record is from RNAcentral.